This 488-nucleotide ribosomal RNA is filed under the name uncultured bacterium. RNAcentral's name for it is "bacterial SSU rRNA". It matches the Rfam family "Bacterial small subunit ribosomal RNA", at positions 27 to 507 of the family's 1533-position model. The record is from RNAcentral.
CGGACGAACGCUGGCGGCGUGCUUAAUACAUGCAAGUCGAGCGAGGCCUUGGAAUUGGAGUCCUUCGGGAUGAAGAGUCCUUGGCCUAGCGGCGGACGGGUGAGUAACGCGUGGGCAACCUACCCCAAAGUCCGGGAUAACAGUGGGAAACCGCUGCUAAUACCGGAUGGCUUUACCUGAGGGCAUCCUUGGGUAAAGAAAGGUUACGCUUUGGGAUGGGCCCGCGUCCCAUUAGCUAGUUGGUGAGGUAACGGCUCACCAAGGCGACGAUGGGUAGCCGGCCUGAGAGGGUGAACGGCCACACUGGGACUGAGACACGGCCCAGACUCCUACGGGAGGCAGCAGUAGGGAAUAUUGCGCAAUGGGCGGAAGCCUGACGCAGCGACGCCGCGUGAGCGAAGAAGGCCUUCGGGUCGUAAAGCUCUGUCCUUGGGGAAGAAGGCGAAAGCUUGACGGUACCCAAGAAGAAAGCCCCGGCUAACUACGUG